ACGCUCGACACUGGAGGCAGCAGUGGGGAAUAUUGCACAAUGGGGGAAACCCUGAUGCAGCGACGCCGCGUGAGCGAAGAAGUAUUUCGGUAUGUAAAGCUCUAUCAGCAGGGAAGAAAAUGACGGUACCUGACUAAGAAGCACCGGCUAAAUACGUGCCGCAGCCGCCGGGUAAGUUACUUCGAGGCGGGCGGUGGCGAACGGACG
RNAcentral lists this ribosomal RNA (207 nucleotides) under uncultured bacterium. Its description in RNAcentral is "partial 16S ribosomal RNA". The stretch from base 1 to 180 matches the Rfam family "Bacterial small subunit ribosomal RNA", at positions 326 to 535 of the family's 1533-position model. The record is from RNAcentral.